AACGAACGCUGGCGGCAGGCCUAACACAUGCAAGUCGAACGGGAUCUUCGGAUCUAGUGGCGGACGGGUGAGUAACGCGUGGGGACGUGCCCUUUGGUUCGGAAUAGCCCCGGGAAACUGGGAGUAAUACCGGAUAAGCUCUACGGAGGAAAGAUUUAUCGCCAAAGGAUCGGCCCGCGUUGGAUUAGGUAGUUGGUGGGGUAAUGGCCUACCAAGCCGACGAUCCAUAGCUGGUUUGAGAGGAUGAUCAGCCACACUGGGACUGAGACACGGCCCAGACUCCUACGGGAGGCAGCAGUGGGGAAUCUUAGACGAUGGGGGGAACCCUGAUCUAGCCAUGCCGCGUGAUCGAUGAAGGCCUUAGGGUUGUAAAGAUCUUUCAGUGGGGAAGAUAAUGACUGUACCCACAGAAGAAGCCCCGGCUAACUCCGUGCCAGCAGCCGCAGUAA
RNAcentral lists this ribosomal RNA (449 nucleotides) under uncultured bacterium. Its description in RNAcentral is "partial 16S ribosomal RNA". It matches the Rfam family "Bacterial small subunit ribosomal RNA", at positions 29 to 523 of the family's 1533-position model. The record is from RNAcentral.